UACAGAGGGUGCGAGCGUUAAUCGGAAUUACUGGGCGUAAAGCGUGCGUAGACGGUUAUUUAAGUCGGAUGUGAAAUCCCCGGGCUCAACCUGGGAACUGCAUUUGUGACUGCACGGCUGGAGUGCGGCAGAGGGGGAUGGAAUUCCGCGUGUAGCAGUGAAAUGCGUAGAUAUGCGGAGGAACACCGAUGGCGAAGGCAAUCCCCUGGGCCUGCACUGACGCUCAUGCACGAAAGCGUGGGGAGCAAACAGG
This 253-nucleotide ribosomal RNA is filed under the name uncultured bacterium. Its description in RNAcentral is "partial 16S ribosomal RNA". It matches the Rfam family "Bacterial small subunit ribosomal RNA", at positions 524 to 776 of the family's 1533-position model. The record is from RNAcentral.